This 292-nucleotide ribosomal RNA is filed under the name uncultured bacterium. RNAcentral describes it as "partial 16S ribosomal RNA". The stretch from base 54 to 292 matches the Rfam family "Bacterial small subunit ribosomal RNA", at positions 100 to 339 of the family's 1533-position model. The record is from RNAcentral.
AACGAAGCACUUUUACAGAUUUCUUCGGAAUGAAGUUUUAGUGACUGAGUGGCGGACGGGUGAGUAACGCGUGGGUAACCUGCCUUGUACUGGGGGACAACAGUUGGAAACGACUGCUAAUACCGCAUGAGCGCACAGAGCUGCAUGGCUCGGUGUGAAAAACUCCGGUGGUAUGGGAUGGGCCCGCGUCUGAUUAGGCAGUUGGCGGGGUAACGGCCCACCAAACCGACGAUGGAUAGGGGUUCUGAGAGGAAGGUCCCCCACAUUGGAACUGAGACACGGUCCAAACUCC